AGUUUGAUCCUGGCUCAGGAUGAAUGCUGGCGGCGUGCCUAAUACAUGCAAGUCGAGCGGUAAGGCCCUUCGGGGUACACGAGCGGCGGACGGCUGAGUAACGCGUGGGAACAUGCCCCAAAGUGAGGGAUAACGCACCGAAAGGUGUGCUAAUACCGCAUAUGGUCUUCGGAUUAAAGGAUUUAUCCGCUUUGGGAGUGGCCCGCGUACGAUUAGAUUGUUGGUGAGGUAACGGCUCACCAAGUCGACGAUCGUUAACUGGUCUGAGAGGAUGAUCAGUCAGACUGGAACUGAGACACGGUCCAGACUCCUACGGGAGGCAGCAGUAAGGAAUCUUCCACAAUGGGCGAAAGCCCGAUGGAGCAACGCCGCGUGCAGGAUGAAGGCCCUCGGGUCGUAAACUGCUUUUAUGAGUGAAGAAUAUGACGGUAACUCAUGAAUAAGCACCGGCUAACUACGUG
This 461-nucleotide ribosomal RNA is filed under the name uncultured bacterium. RNAcentral describes it as "bacterial SSU rRNA". It matches the Rfam family "Bacterial small subunit ribosomal RNA", at positions 10 to 507 of the family's 1533-position model. The record is from RNAcentral.